AACGAACGCUGGCGGCAUGCCUAACACAUGCAAGUCGAACGGGAUCCGGACUUCGGUCCGGUGAGAGUGGCGGACGGGUGAGUAACACGUGGGAACCUGCCUUUUGGUUCGGGAUAACCGCGGGAAACUGCGGCUAAUACCGGAUGCUCCCGAGAGAGAAAAGAUUUAUCGCCAGAAGAGGGGCCCGCGUCCGAUUAGGUAGUUGGUGGGGUAAUGGCCUACCAAGCCGACGAUCGGUAGCUGGUCUGAGAGGAUGAUCAGCCACACUGGGACUGAGAUACGGCCCAGACUCCUACGGGAGGCAGCAGUGGGGAAUAUUGGACAAUGGGGGGCAACCCUGAUCCAGCAAUGCCGCGUGAGUGAUGAAGGCCUUAGGGUUGUAAAGCUCUUUUGCCAGGGAAGAUGAUGACUGUACCUGGAGAAUAAGCCCCGGCUAACUUCGUGCCAGCAGCCGCGGUAAU
RNAcentral lists this ribosomal RNA (461 nucleotides) under uncultured bacterium. RNAcentral's name for it is "bacterial SSU rRNA". It matches the Rfam family "Bacterial small subunit ribosomal RNA", at positions 29 to 524 of the family's 1533-position model. The record is from RNAcentral.